CGUAGGUGGCAAGCGUUGUCCGGAAUUAUUGGGCGUAAAGCGCGCGCAGGCGGUCUUUUAAGUCUGAUGUGAAAGCCCACGGCUCAACCGUGGAGGGUCAUUGGAAACUGGAAGACUUGAGUGCAGAAGAGAAGAGCGGAAUUCCACGUGUAGCGGUGAAAUGCGUAGAGAUGUGGAGGAACACCAGUGGCGAAGGCGGCUCUUUGGUCUGUAACUGACGCUGAGGCGCGAAAGCGUGGGAGCAAACAGGAUU
RNAcentral lists this ribosomal RNA (253 nucleotides) under uncultured bacterium. RNAcentral describes it as "partial 16S ribosomal RNA". It matches the Rfam family "Bacterial small subunit ribosomal RNA", at positions 526 to 779 of the family's 1533-position model. The record is from RNAcentral.